AACGAACGCUGGCGACAUGCCUAACACAUGCAAGUCGAACGAAGCCUUCGGGCUCAGUGGCGCACGGGUGCGUAACGCGUGGGAAUCUGCCCUUUGGUUCGGAAUAACAGUUGGAAACGACUGCUAAUACCGGAUGAUGACGAAAGUCCAAAGAUUUAUCGCCAGAGGAUGAGCCCGCGUAGGAUUAGCUAGUUGGUGUGGUAAAGGCGCACCAAGGCGACGAUCCUUAGCUGGUCUGAGAGGAUGAUCAGCCACACUGGGACUGAGACACGGCCCAGACUCCUACGGGAGGCAGCAGUGGGGAAUAUUGGACAAUGGGCGAAAGCCUGAUCCAGCAAUGCCGCGUGAGUGAUGAAGGCCCUAGGGUUGUAAAGCUCUUUUACCCGGGAUGAUAAUGACAGUACCGGGAGAAUAGGCCCCGGCUAACUCCGUGCCAGCAGCCGCGGUAA
Molecule: ribosomal RNA, 449 nt
Filed under: uncultured bacterium
Lineage: Bacteria
Description: partial 16S ribosomal RNA
Rfam family: Bacterial small subunit ribosomal RNA
Source: RNAcentral